This 323-nucleotide ribosomal RNA is filed under the name uncultured bacterium. RNAcentral's name for it is "bacterial SSU rRNA". It matches the Rfam family "Bacterial small subunit ribosomal RNA", at positions 30 to 353 of the family's 1533-position model. The record is from RNAcentral.
AUUGAACGCUGGCGGCAUGCCUUACACAUGCAAGUCGAACGGCAGCACGGGAGCAAUCCUGGUGGCGAGUGGCGAACGGGUGAGUAAUAUAUCGGAACGUGCCCAGUCGUGGGGGAUAACGUAGCGAAAGCUACGCUAAUACCGCAUACGAUCUAUGGAUGAAAGGCGGGGGAUCGCAAGACCUCGCGCGAUUGGAGCGGCCGAUAUCAGAUUAGGUAGUUGGUGAGGUAAGGCUCACCAAGCCGACGAUCUGUAGCUGGUCUGAGAGGACGACCAGCCACACUGGGACUGAGACACGGCCCAGACUCCUACGGGAGGCAGCA